UACGAAGGGAGCUAGCGUUGUUCGGAAUCACUGGGCGUAAAGCGCACGUAGGCGGAUUCGUCAGUCAGGGGUGAAAUCCCGGGGCUCAACCUCGGAACUGCCUCUGAUACAGCAAGUCUUGAGUCCGGAAGAGGUGGGUGGAAUUCCUAGUGUAGAGGUGAAAUUCGUAGAUAUUAGGAAGAACACCGGUGGCGAAGGCGGCCCACUGGUCCGGUACUGACGCUGAGGUGCGAAAGCGUGGGGAGCAAACAGG
This 253-nucleotide ribosomal RNA is filed under the name uncultured bacterium. Its description in RNAcentral is "partial 16S ribosomal RNA". It matches the Rfam family "Bacterial small subunit ribosomal RNA", at positions 524 to 776 of the family's 1533-position model. The record is from RNAcentral.